CUCGCGUUGGAUUAGAUAGUUGUGGGGUAACGGCCUACCAAGUCGACGAUCCAUAGCCGGACUGAGAGGUUGAACGGCCACAUUGGGACUGAGACACGGCCCAGACUCCUACGGGAGGCAGCAGUGGGGAAUAUUGCACAAUGGAGGAAACUCUGAUGCAGCGACGCCGCGUGAAGGAAGAAGGUCUUCGGAUUGUAAACUUCUGUUGUCAGGGACGAUAAUGACGGUACCUGACGAGAAAGCCACGGCUAACUAC
This 256-nucleotide ribosomal RNA is filed under the name uncultured bacterium. Its description in RNAcentral is "partial 16S ribosomal RNA". It matches the Rfam family "Bacterial small subunit ribosomal RNA", at positions 230 to 504 of the family's 1533-position model. The record is from RNAcentral.